UACGAAGGGGGCUAGCGUUGCUCGGAAUUAUUGGGCGUAAAGGGUGCGUAGGCGGGUCUUUAAGUCAGGGGUGAAAUCCUGGAGCUCAACUCCAGAACUGCCUUUGAUACUGAGGAUCUUGAGUUCGGGAGAGGUGAGUGGAACUGCGAGUGUAGAGGUGAAAUUCGUAGAUAUUCGCAAGAACACCAGUGGCGAAGGCGGCUCACUGGCCCGAUACUGACGCUGAGGCACGAAAGCGUGGGGAGCAAACAGG
Molecule: ribosomal RNA, 253 nt
Filed under: uncultured bacterium
Lineage: Bacteria
Description: partial 16S ribosomal RNA
Rfam family: Bacterial small subunit ribosomal RNA
Source: RNAcentral